RNAcentral lists this unclassified non-coding RNA (223 nucleotides) under plant metagenome. RNAcentral's name for it is "partial contains small subunit ribosomal RNA and internal transcribed spacer 1". The stretch from base 1 to 46 matches the Rfam family "Eukaryotic small subunit ribosomal RNA", at positions 1786 to 1831 of the family's 1831-position model. The record is from RNAcentral.
AAGUCGUAACAAGGUUUCCGUAGGUGAACCUGCGGAAGGAUCAUUACCGAGCGCGAGGCCACGCAGGGCGCCAGCCCCGCGUGGCCGACCCUCCACCCGUGCUGAUAUUUCAGGCUACUUUGGCGGGCCGGGCUCGACCUACCGGCUCCGGCCGGGAGCGCCCGCCAGAGACGCCCCAACUCGUGCUGUCAGUGAUGUCUGAGUUACAAUUAAUAAAGUAAAA